AUACCUUUCUCGGCCUUUUGGCUAAGAUCAAGUGUAGUAUCUGUUCUUAUCAGUUUAAUAUCUGAUACGUGGGCCAUCGGCCCACUCGAUAUUAAUCUUAUUUUUUUUAUGGGGAAAGGCCCAUCACAAUAGCUUUUUUUGGUAAGGCUGUCAUGCUUUUUUUGAACGACCAACAAAUCAAUCUCGAGCACUCUCA
This is a non-coding RNA of Helianthus annuus (common sunflower), 196 nucleotides long. The record is from Rfam. Lineage: Eukaryota; Viridiplantae; Streptophyta; Magnoliopsida; Asterales; Asteraceae.